AACGCACGAGACCUGCGGACCUGCGGAAGGAUCAUUAAUGAGAAACUGCCCCUCGCGGGUAGAUCUCCCACCCUCUGUAAACUUACCUUUGUUGCUUUGGCAGGCCCGUCUCCGGACCGCCGGCUUCGGCUGGCCAGUGCCUGCCAGAGGAUUCUAAAACUCUGUCUGUCAGUGUUGUCUGAGUCUAUAUACAAUCGUUAAAACUUUUAACAACGGAUCUCUAGAUCGGAAGAGCACACG
This 240-nucleotide unclassified non-coding RNA is filed under the name soil metagenome. RNAcentral's name for it is "partial contains 5.8S ribosomal RNA, internal transcribed spacer 2, and large subunit ribosomal RNA". The record is from RNAcentral.